AUUCAACUGACGAGUCCUAAAUAGGACGAAACGUCUGUCCUGGAU
RNAcentral lists this non-coding RNA (45 nucleotides) under Schistosoma mansoni. Lineage: Eukaryota; Metazoa; Platyhelminthes; Trematoda; Strigeidida; Schistosomatidae. The record is from RNAcentral.